Molecule: long non-coding RNA, 244 nt
Filed under: Lathyrus oleraceus (garden pea)
Lineage: Eukaryota; Viridiplantae; Streptophyta; Magnoliopsida; Fabales; Fabaceae
Description: Pisum sativum (pea) long non-coding RNA (PSAT_LNC022237)
Source: RNAcentral
UUUAGGCUGGGUAAUUGGUCAAGCAGUUUGCAGCAUGUUUGGCCAUUUUGAGGUCCUAAGUUGAUGAUACCAUAACUUUUGAUUCCCUCGUGCAUUUUGAGAAAAACUUGGGCCAAAUUAUUUUUGACAUAAGCUUAACAAUAUUCAAAAAGAAUGGGAUCAAAAGAGUUCUUGAGCUGAAACUGGCAAAGGUGAAAAGUAGGGGUCAUGACAAGGAUUUGACCCAUUUUGGCAACUUGGUCUU